UACGUAGGGGGCAAGCGUUGUCCGGAUUUAUUGGGCGUAAAGAGCGUGUAGGCGGCCUGAAAGGUCAGCUGUGAAAACUCGAGGCUCAACCUCGAGACGUCGGUUGAAACCAUCUGGCUAGAGUCCGGAAGAGGAGUGUGGAAUUCCCGGUGUAGCGGUGAAAUGCGCAGACAUCAGGAAGAACACCCGUGGCGAAGGCGGCUCUCUGGAACGCAACUGACGCAUG
RNAcentral lists this ribosomal RNA (226 nucleotides) under uncultured bacterium. Its description in RNAcentral is "partial 16S ribosomal RNA". It matches the Rfam family "Bacterial small subunit ribosomal RNA", at positions 524 to 749 of the family's 1533-position model. The record is from RNAcentral.